CCAGACUCCUACGGGAGGCAGCAGUGGGGAAUAUUGGGCAAUGGGCGCAAGCCUGACCCAGCAACGCCGCGUGAAGGAAGAAGGCUUUCGGGUUGUAAACUUCUUUUAAGAGGGAAGAGAAGAAGACGGUACCUCUUGAAUAAGCCACGGCUAACUACGUGCCAGCAGCCGCGGUAAUACGUAGGUGGCAAGCGUUGUCCGGAUUUACUGGGUGUAAAGGGCGUGCAGCCGGGCUGACAAGUCAGAUGUGAAAUCCCGCGGCUCAACCGCGGAACUGCAUUUGAAACUGGGUGUCUUGAGGGCAGGAGAGGAAAGUGGAAUUCCUAGUGUAGCGGUGAAAUGCGUAGAUAUUAGGAGGAACACCAGUGGCGAAGGCGACUUUCUGGACUGUACCUGACGCUGAGGCGCGAAAGCGUGGGUAGCGAACGGGAUUAGAUACCCUGGUAGA
RNAcentral lists this ribosomal RNA (448 nucleotides) under uncultured bacterium. Its description in RNAcentral is "bacterial SSU rRNA". It matches the Rfam family "Bacterial small subunit ribosomal RNA", at positions 331 to 794 of the family's 1533-position model. The record is from RNAcentral.